UGCCUGCCUGCCUGCCUGCGGCCAUGCUCCCUGCCAAGAAGGUCAUGGACUCACCCUCUGACACUACUGCUUACCUGUGAAGCAGGAUAUCCUGGGACCUGACCCCGGAGAGGAGGUGCUUCUGUCUGACAGUCCUGCUGGGAAUAUAUCCAACGAGAGACUGGGGUUGGGCUGUUACCAGGUGAACGGUCUCAUUAUGUGGCUUAACUGUCCUGGAACUUGCUACAUAGACAGGGAUGGCCUUGAACUCAGAGAUCCUUCUGCCUCUGCCUCCUGUGUAUUGGGAUUAAAGGUGUGUGCCAUAGCCUCCGCCAGGUUGCAGAAGCUGCUCAGUGUCUGUGUCCUGCUCUUGUUCUCCUGGCUUAGUGGAGACAAGCCUCUGCGGCAAACAUACUCAGCUAGAUCAUCGGGCAAGCCAAGAAGCAUCCCAGCUUGAUCCCUCUCUCCGUAGUUACUGAAGCAGGAGGUGUUGGAGCAGCACUGUAUGUACUGUACAGCCCAGAUGUCGGCUGAGACAGGAAGAAUAACCCAGAACCUUGGAACAAACUGGGUCCCAAAAACAAUACAAAGUCUACUAAGUGAAGCGAUUACAGCGAACUGAAGAAAGAA
Molecule: long non-coding RNA, 609 nt
Organism: Peromyscus eremicus (cactus mouse)
Lineage: Eukaryota; Metazoa; Chordata; Mammalia; Rodentia; Cricetidae
Exons: 4
Source: RefSeq, a predicted model, not a curated record